Molecule: transfer RNA, 70 nt
Filed under: Camelus ferus (Wild Bactrian camel)
Lineage: Eukaryota; Metazoa; Chordata; Mammalia; Artiodactyla; Camelidae
Rfam family: tRNA
About the family: Transfer RNA (tRNA) molecules are approximately 80 nucleotides in length.
Source: Rfam by way of RNAcentral
GGGUAUAGCUCAGUAGUAGAGCACCUGCUUAGCGUGCAUGAGGUCCUGGGUUCAAUCCCCAGUAAUUCCA